CCUAACUAGCAAUCAAAGCCACUCACAACUUUUUGCACCAACACCCAAGUUAUUAAAAAUAAAUUGUUUCUUUUUGUGCCAUGACAGUGGACUCAAUAUCUUGUGACAUCUAGUUCUUGCACCAUACUCCAAGCAUUGACGUCUACUUGACCCUUGACGCAACUUCCUUCAAGCUGUUAGCAACAUUCCCCUCUCCGAGCAUCAAUAAUUUGUGCCACCAUAUACCCUUGUUGCGCCAUAUACUUCCACUUGCUCCACAUCAAUCCCUCUUGCGCGAACAUCACCUCUUGUGCCAUACCAACAUCCUACUUACGUCAUCCCUUCUCAACCCUCGUGAGCAUCAUCCCUUUCCUAAUUUUUUUGGUGCAUCAUCUUUUCAGCCUUCUCCUACCAAAAACACUCUCUUGCGCCUUCAGCUUUCUCCAUCUCUAAUCCCCUCUUGCGCGAUCAGUACUUAUCACACUACAAGGAUCUAACCCUUUGCAGACGACAACUAUCCAGACGACAUAUGUCGUUGAGCAGAAAAGAUAUACAGACGACAAGUCGGCUGCAUAGGCUCGGCCGAAAGGGGCGAAUUUUUUGUGGUAUAUCGAAUUUCUAUAUCGACGACAUGUCGUCGGGAGGAGGAAUUAAAAAAAUAUUUUCGAUUUAUUUUACAGAAAAUCAAUACGAUGCCGUUUUGGUCAGCCUAUGCAGACGAGAUGUCGUCGCUAUAGGGUGCUUAAAAAUUAAUUUCGAUUUAUUUUUUAUCCGUCUUGGAGAAAUGGAAUAAGAUGUCGUUUUGGUCAAGCUAUCUAGACGACAUGUCGUUUGGAAAAGGAGGGAACGAUCCGCAUUAAAACGCUUUCUUAUUUUAUUUUAUUUUUUAAUGACGUGAAGUAAAACGACCCCAUUUUCGUUUACCUAUAGAGACGACAUGUCGUCUCUAUAGGGUUUUGUUGUAAUAAAAACGCUUUCAGUCUUCAUUUUCCAGUCGACUGCCCCUUCCAUUUUCCUCUCAAGCUUUGGCGUCGUUCCCAGGCAUUUUCCGGUGUUCCACUUCUUCGGCCAGCUAAAAGGGGAUUUGUUUCUGGGUUUGGAGCCCUAAAACGCUUCCGCCGGCCGGACAAGAACGGUGAACACCGCCAUAGAAAACGAUUUCCGAGUAUACGAUUAUCUUCUUCACCCACCAUAGUCGAAAUGCACAACCACAAGAUAGCCACCUCCACCGUAUACAAAUACGUACCAACAGAUCACACCACCGGCGACACCGUUGUUUUUCCCCUUCCAGCAUCCAAACCCUAAAUCUGAAACAGUAACCACUAUCCUAAUUUUGGUCAAUUAAGAAACCAGUGUUCGAUUUUGGUUCCAAUUUCCCUAUGAACGAAUUGUUGUUCAUCGUGUCACACAAAUAAUGGAAGAUGGUGUUGGCGGAAUUAGGGGAGCAUUUCACGUGCUCUCCAGCAGAUGAGCAAUGCCACGAUCAUCGAUGAGAAGGUCCUUAAUGAUUGUUUAAACGAGAUCACGCGCGCUCUUCUUCAAUCCGAUGCUCAGUUUAAGCUCGUUCGAAGAUCGUCAAUCUCGAUGAUCUCGCUGCAGGUCAUAACAAGCGAAGAAUCAUCCAGCAGGCCAUAUUUACCAUGCUCUGCAAGAUGUUAGAUCUUGGGAAGCCAUCUUUCACACCCAAGAAAAGGAAACCACGUGUUGUCAUGUUUGUAGGCUUAUAAGGGUCUGGAAAAACUACUACAUGUACAAAAUAUGCCUAUUACCACCAAAAGAAGGGCUGGAAACCAUCUUUGGUAUGUGCAAAUACAUUUAGAGUCGGUGCCUUUGAUCAACUGAAGCGGAAUGCAAAUGG
Molecule: non-coding RNA, 1837 nt
Organism: Lactuca sativa (garden lettuce)
Lineage: Eukaryota; Viridiplantae; Streptophyta; Magnoliopsida; Asterales; Asteraceae
Source: RefSeq, a predicted model, not a curated record